UACAGAGGGUGCAAGCGUUAAUCGGAAUUACUGGGCGUAAAGCGUGCGUAGACGGUUAUGUAAGUCAGAUGUGAAAGCCCCGGGCUCAACCUGGGAAUUGCAUUUGAGACUGCAUAGCUAGGAUGCGGAAGAGGGAAGUGGAAUUUCCGGUGUAGCGGUGAAAUGCGUAGAUAUCGGAAGGAACAUCAGUGGCGAAAGCGACUUCCUGGUCCAGCAUCGACGUUCAGGCACGAAAGCGUGGGGAGCAAACAGG
This 253-nucleotide ribosomal RNA is filed under the name uncultured bacterium. RNAcentral's name for it is "partial 16S ribosomal RNA". It matches the Rfam family "Bacterial small subunit ribosomal RNA", at positions 524 to 776 of the family's 1533-position model. The record is from RNAcentral.